AGUGAGCCGGUCAAUCAGCGCUGGGGCUGUAGUGGCACAGGAGGUGGGAGGUGGGCAGGCCAACACGGAGGAGGCCUCCUAUGGGAAGCUGAGGAGUUUGGCAUUUUAUCAGAAGACAGUAUCAUGCCAUUGAGGGAUCUUAAGCAAAGCAGUGACAGAAUCAGAUCUAUAGUUUCAUCAAGACCCAUUGGGCUUCAACGUUCAGUCUGCACCGGAGCAGGGAACACUCUAGAGAUGAGGCAAUGAGGAAACCAGAGAUAGGCCCAGGCGUGUGAGAGGAGCGGCCGAGGCUGACCCCUCUGCCUGGAGGGGAGAAGGGAAAGGGGAAAGGCGAGACUCCUCCCGUCAUCCUCAUGUCCUGGAUACUGGGCACCACACCAAGUAUUUCCUACCUUCUUUCCCUAUUUCUUACACCCCAGCCAUCAGUAUCAAUGUGAAAACCACAAUGCUUGGAUUAUUUAGAUUUAUUUCCAAAUCCCACAACAG
Homo sapiens (human) is the source of this 486-nucleotide long non-coding RNA. NCBI's taxonomy places the organism in Eukaryota, Metazoa, Chordata, Mammalia, Primates, Hominidae. The record is from Ensembl.